RNAcentral lists this transfer-messenger RNA (441 nucleotides) under Marinovum sp. It matches the Rfam family "Alphaproteobacteria transfer-messenger RNA". Rfam says of the family: Bacterial tmRNA, also known as 10Sa RNA or SsrA, is named for its dual tRNA and mRNA-like properties. Its role is to liberate the mRNA from a stalled ribosome. To accomplish this part of the tmRNA is used as a reading frame that ends in a translation stop signal. The record is from RNAcentral. Lineage: Bacteria; Pseudomonadati; Pseudomonadota; Alphaproteobacteria; Rhodobacterales; Roseobacteraceae.
ACCAUUAAAGGCAAACAAAGAAGAUUGUAAUAAAAUCACAAAGAAUUAAUCGUUGAUGGUAGGGUAAUAAACGGACUGGACUUGGGUGCAACUCCCAACACCUCCACCAUAAACACAUUAGAGGAGAGUAUACUAUGUUUAAAUAUAUUAAAUCUUUAUGGCAAUUGUGCAUUAAAGAAAAUAUAGUUAGAGAACUAAAUCAAGAUGGUUCUAAACAUAGACUUCAUACGCUGAAACCAGAUGGUAAAUUCAGAUAUGAAGACCUUUGUCAAUAAUGUUUUUAUGGGGGGUGUGUUAGGAUUGACAGACGAGUAAAGACUACAGGAGAUUAAUAGUUGGCGAACUUAAACGCAUUAUAAACGGCGAAGGAGACUUAGCCCUUGCUGCCUAAUUACUAGGCAACGGAGUUUGUGGUGUACUUGGCAACAGAAACACCACAUC